GAUUCAGUGAGAGUGAUCCCAAAACAUCGGAAACAUAGGAAAAAUCAAUAGCAAACUGUUCACAACUGACUAUAGCACUGUGAACUGUUCCUGGUUGCGCCUGCAAAUCCGCUAUCAUAAUAGCAAUCCGCUAUGGAACAAGCGUGCCUGUUGUUAAAGGGAAUGUGAGAUGACGCUCUGAUUGGUUUAUUGCACGUUACGCCCAAACCACACCCAUGAAUAAUGUAGCUGCUACAGACCACCCCAUUUUAGAUUUGCGUUGGGCACAACAGUCAUUUGCGCGAAGUCAAUUGCGUUAAAGUGCAAGAUAUAGCCCA
Molecule: long non-coding RNA, 317 nt
Organism: Alosa sapidissima (American shad)
Lineage: Eukaryota; Metazoa; Chordata; Actinopteri; Clupeiformes; Clupeidae
Exons: 3
Source: RefSeq, a predicted model, not a curated record